Molecule: long non-coding RNA, 477 nt
Filed under: Chlamydomonas reinhardtii
Lineage: Eukaryota; Viridiplantae; Chlorophyta; Chlorophyceae; Chlamydomonadales; Chlamydomonadaceae
Description: long non-coding RNA (CREI_LNC001259)
Source: RNAcentral
AUCAGAGGAACUGGAGUAAGCGGAUAGUUUCGGCAACGGGCCCUAGUCGCACCGCGCACCUUGGCCGAAUGGAAACUUGGGCUUGGCCUCGCCAAAUGUGGCCCCCGUGUAGAUUACAUCCUGUAAAGCGUGCAGGCGGGGACUGAGCACCGGUGCCCAUGGCGAUCCCAAGACGAACAAAGCGUUGACGAACCUCGUAAGGGAUGUUUCCAAUGGAUAAGCAAAGUCGCGCAACCUCCGCACGGCCCGGAACUGCAUGACAAGAAUCGGGGGCGAAAAUUAGGCAUGCGCUGCAACGUUGCCCCUUUGAACUCGAAGCUUGCCUGGGAAAUAGUGGAUUUUGAGCGACAUUUAUGUGCCUGUUGGUGAUGAAAAAUUUUACAGGAUGUGAGGAAGGAGGAAGGAGCUCGGAUGCAGGCACGCUGCGUGUGUUUCGGCCCAUGCAUUCUCCCGAUGCCAAGGCCCCUGACCCAAUUC